UACGUAGGGGGCAAGCGUUGUCCGGAUUUACUGGGCGUAAAGCGUGCGCAGGCGGUUGUGUAAGACAGAUGUGAAAUCCCCGGGCUCAACCUGGGAACUGCAUUUGUGACUGCACGGCUGGAGUGCGGCAGAGGGGGAUGGAAUUCCGCGUGUAGCAGUGAAAUGCGUAGAUAUGCGGAGGAACACCGAUGGCGAAGGCAAUCCCCUGGGCCUGCACUGACGCUCAUGCACGAAAGCGUGGGGAGCAAACAGG
RNAcentral lists this ribosomal RNA (253 nucleotides) under uncultured bacterium. RNAcentral's name for it is "partial 16S ribosomal RNA". It matches the Rfam family "Bacterial small subunit ribosomal RNA", at positions 524 to 776 of the family's 1533-position model. The record is from RNAcentral.